Molecule: ribosomal RNA, 482 nt
Filed under: uncultured bacterium
Lineage: Bacteria
Description: partial 16S ribosomal RNA
Rfam family: Bacterial small subunit ribosomal RNA
Source: RNAcentral
AUUGAGCGCUGGCGGCAUGCUUUACACAUGCCAGUCGAACGGUAACAGGCCGCAAGGUGCUGACGAGUGGCGAACGGGUGAGUAAUGCAUCGGAACGUGCCCAGUCGUGGGGGAUAACUACUCGAAAGAGUAGCUAAUACCGCAUACGAUCUAUGGAUGAAAGCGGGGGACCGUAAGGCCUCGCGCGAUUGGAGCGGCCGAUGUCAGAUUAGGUAGUUGGUGGGGUAAAGGCUCACCAAGCCAACGAUCUGUAGCUGGUCUGAGAGGACGACCAGCCACACUGGGACUGAGACACGGCCCAGACUCCUACGGGAGGCAGCAGUGGGGAAUUUUGGACAAUGGGCGCAAGCCUGAUCCAGCAAUGCCGCGUGCAGGAAGAAGGCCUUCGGGUUGUAAACUGCUUUUGUACGGAACGAAACGGCUCUGGUUAAUACCCGGGGCUAAUGACGGUACCGUAAGAAUAAGCACCGGCUAACUACGUG